GGGCAGAUGUUGGAGGAGGCCUACUUGAGGUCAGGAGAGGUAACCUCUGAAUAUGCAAAGACAUUUUACCUAGGAACACAACUCAUGACACC
This 92-nucleotide non-coding RNA is filed under the name Picochlorum oklahomense. The record is from RNAcentral. Lineage: Eukaryota; Viridiplantae; Chlorophyta; Trebouxiophyceae.